CCUUAAUAGCGGCUGCACCAUUAGGAUGUCCUGAUCCAACAUCGAGGUCGUAAACCCCCUCGUCGAUAGGGACUCUGGGAGAGGAUUGCGCUGUUAUCCCUAGGGUAACUCGGUCCGUUGAUCGGCGUUCGCCGGAUCAUUUUUGGUCAGAAAUUCUGGUACUUAGAGUUGUGGCUCUUGGUUGUGGGGGCAGUGCCCCCAGUCCACAUGGGGGCUUUGUUUUCCCCCGCGGUCGCCCCAACCAAAGACAUAGGGGCUAGGGGUCACUGUGUUUUUACCUGUUAAUUUAAGGUUACUUGACGUGAUCUGCCUGGUGUCUAAAGCUCCAUAGGGUCUUCUCGUCUUAUGUAUUUAUGUCCGCUUCUGCACGGGCAGAUCAAUUUCAUUGACUUGGAAGAGGAGACAGCUAAGCCCUCGUGAUGCCAUUCAUACAGGUCUUCAUUUAAAAGAC
This 451-nucleotide ribosomal RNA is filed under the name Salmo trutta fario. Its description in RNAcentral is "partial 16S ribosomal RNA". Lineage: Eukaryota; Metazoa; Chordata; Actinopteri; Salmoniformes; Salmonidae. The record is from RNAcentral.